This is a non-coding RNA of Bos taurus (domestic cattle), 72 nucleotides long. The record is from Rfam. NCBI's taxonomy places the organism in Eukaryota, Metazoa, Chordata, Mammalia, Artiodactyla, Bovidae.
UCCCUUGUGGCUUAGACAGUAAAGCGUCUGCCUACAAUGCGGGAGACCCAGGUUCGAUCUCUGGGUUGGGAA